AUAACGCGAUGGGAAGCGGCGCGCUUCCCGUGUAUGAUUGAACCCGCAUGGCUCCCGUAUCGUUUGGGAAGCGCUGAGGGUUCAUUUUUAU
RNAcentral lists this small RNA (91 nucleotides) under Citrobacter koseri. Its description in RNAcentral is "sroE RNA". It matches the Rfam family "sroE RNA". Rfam says of the family: This family consists of a number of bacterial sroE RNA genes of around 90 bases in length. sroE is found in several Enterobacterial species but its function is unknown. Lineage: Bacteria; Pseudomonadati; Pseudomonadota; Gammaproteobacteria; Enterobacterales; Enterobacteriaceae. RNAcentral also lists the same sequence under 1 other name. The record is from RNAcentral.